GAGUCCUUAACUGACGCUAAAGCUCGAAAGUGCGGGUAUCGAACAGGAUUAGAUACCCUGGUAGUCCGCACGGUAAACGAUGGAUGCCCGCUGUUGGCGAUAUAUUGUCAGCGGCCAAGCGAAAGCGUUAAGCAUCCCACCUGGGGAGUACGCCGGCAACGGUGAAACUCAAAGGAAUUGACGGGGGCCCGCACAAGCGGAGGAACAUGUGGUUUAAUUCGAUGAUACGCGAGGAACCUUACCCGGGCUUGAACUGCCAGCGAACGAUUCAGAGAUGAUGAGGCCCUUCGGGGCGCUGGUGGAGGUGCUGCAUGGUUGUCGUCAGCUCGUGCCGUGAGGUGUCGGCUUAAGUGCCAUAACGAGCGCAACCCCUUUCUCCAGUUGCCAUCAGGUAGAGCUGGGCACUCUGGAGACACUGCCACCGUAAGGUGUGAGGAAGGUGGGGAUGGCGUCAAAUCAGCACGGCCCGUACGUCCGGGGCUACACACGUGUUACAAUGGGUGGUACAGAGAGUCGGUCGCUGGCAAUAGCGAUCCAAUCCUAAAAGCCAUCCUCAGUUCGGAUUGGGGUCUGCAACCCGACCCCAUGAAGCUGGAUUCGC
RNAcentral lists this ribosomal RNA (601 nucleotides) under uncultured bacterium. RNAcentral's name for it is "bacterial SSU rRNA". It matches the Rfam family "Bacterial small subunit ribosomal RNA", at positions 730 to 1335 of the family's 1533-position model. The record is from RNAcentral.